AUGGUGCAACCCAAGAAGAAGUUUCGUGGAGUCAGGCAGCGCCACUGGGGCUCCUGGGUCUCUGAGAUCAGACACCCCCUCCUUAAAAGAAGGGUGUGGCUUGGUACCUUCGAAACCGCUGAAGAGGCUGCACGGGCCUACGACGAGGCCGCCGUUCUGAUGAGCGGCCGCAAUGCCAAGACCAACUUCCCCGUGCAGAGGAGCAGCACCGGCGAUCCUGCCCCAGCUGCAACCCGGGACGUUCGUGGCGGCAGCUCCUCCUCCUCUACGAGCAACCUGUCCCAGGUUCUCAGUGCCAAGCUUCGCAAGUGCUGCAAGGCGCCGUCUCCGUCCCUCACCUGCCUUCGCCUUGACACCGAGAAGUCCCACAUUGGCGUCUGGCAGAAGCGUGCAGGGGCCCGCGCCGACUCCAACUGGGUCAUGACCGUGGAGCUCAACAAAGGGGCCGGGCCAUCCGGCGAUGCGGUGGCAGCGCAGUCCACAGUGUCAGCAACCACGGCUUCUUCACCGGCGAGUACAAUGGAUGACGAGGAGAGGCUCACGCUGCAGAUGAUCGAGGAGCUGCUGAGCAGUAGCGGUCCAGCUUCGCCAUCGCAUGGAGAAGAAGGUAGCUUCGUCGUCUGA
This 624-nucleotide ribosomal RNA is filed under the name Triticum aestivum (bread wheat). RNAcentral describes it as "partial small subunit ribosomal RNA". Lineage: Eukaryota; Viridiplantae; Streptophyta; Magnoliopsida; Poales; Poaceae. The record is from RNAcentral.